CCUACGGGGGACAGCAGUGGGGAAUAUUGCACAAUGGGCGAAAGCCUGAUGCAGCAACGCCGCGUGAGCGAUGAAGGCCUUCGGGUCGUAAAGCUCUGUCCUCAAGGAAGAGAAUGACGGUACGUGAGGAGGAAGCCCCGGCUAACUACGUGCCAGCAGCCGCGGUAAUACGUCGGGGGCUAGCGUUAUCCGGAAUGACUGGGCGUAAAGGGGGCGGAGGUGGUUUCUUAAGUCCGAGGUGAAAGGCUACGGCUCAACCGUAGUCAGCCUUUGACACGGGGAAACUUGCGUGCAGGAGAGGCGAGUGCACUUCCUCUUGUAGCUGUGCAAUGCGUAGCUAUUA
RNAcentral lists this ribosomal RNA (343 nucleotides) under uncultured bacterium. RNAcentral describes it as "partial 16S ribosomal RNA". It matches the Rfam family "Bacterial small subunit ribosomal RNA", at positions 338 to 699 of the family's 1533-position model. The record is from RNAcentral.